Molecule: long non-coding RNA, 1895 nt
Filed under: Gossypium barbadense (sea-island cotton)
Lineage: Eukaryota; Viridiplantae; Streptophyta; Magnoliopsida; Malvales; Malvaceae
Description: long non-coding RNA (GBAR_LNC008019)
Source: RNAcentral
UAUAAAAAUGAUAUUAUUUUAUAAUUAACAAAAGUACAACCAACAAUCAAGCAAAAUUACAUCCUUUACAAAAAAAAAAUCCUUUUUUAAUCUAAUUAUCUGAAUCGCUCGUAUAUCUCGAUAUUUAGCAUCGAAUUUCACAAUUAUUUUCUAGGGACCUCCAACUAUCAUUACAUAACCAUAAAUUUCAACAGCUUUCAUUUCUUACAUUAUUGUCCUCAACACAUGCAGCAAUUGUGUCAUGAAUACUUUUAAUCAAAGCUUCAAUCUAAUUCCACGCCUAGCUUAUUUCAAUCACUUUAAACUCAUCUUUAUCAACGAUCCGUAGUACUUUCCCAAGCAUUUCUCCUUUCAAUCUUAACAUAUAUUGAACCAUAAUCUAGACUUACUUUCCUGGUGGGAGCUCGAUGCAUGGAGAAUAAGAUGAUCAAGAUUUCUUUUUCUCUUUCUUUUGGGGAACAGAAAGAUGAACCAAUUCUUUCAUCUUUUAUAAUUAAAUUCAAUAAUCCUUUAAUGCCCACAUACUUGGUCUAAAUUGAUGGAUAGAAUCGAGCUUAUCCACUAAGCUUGCUUUUAAUAGUGGUUAAUUAUGCUUAGGUCCUUGGUUUAAUACUUUACCCAAUCCUUAAAUUUUAGCUCCCUUUCAAUAUAGUCCCUACUCAUUAAUUUACAAAAUACUUAAAUAAUUCUUUUUGCUAAAUCUCAAUUUAAAAAAUUCAAUUAGCUGGAUUCAUGAAAUAGGGUGAUUGGAUCAUUACAGUUCCCGUUUCUCACUCUUAGAUAUACUUAAUUCAUAAUUUUAAUUUUGGUGAAACUAAAUAGAAUUAGUUAAUGGAGAUAGUCAUGCUUAGCCACUAAUUAUAACAACCAUAGUUAAAUUGUUUUUAUCACCUGUCACAUUUAUUUUUUAUUUUUGGACAAAAAUAAAAAUAAAAACCUAAAUGGUAUUUAUAAUAAUACCAAGAGGUGGAGGGCAUGGAGGAGGCGACACCCAAAUUUUUUUUUACACAAUCACUAAAACAUCAUUACGCAAUGAUAUGUUUUUUUUUUAAAUAUAUAUUUUUUAAAAGUGGAGGGUGUGAGAGAGCCAGCACUAAUAUUUUAUUGUGUAGUUAUUUUUAUUUUUAUUUAUUUUACAAAUGAUUUUGUUGAUUUAAUUGGUUUUUUUUAUUUUGUAUAAAGGGUGUGUUUGAAAGAAAGAUAUGUAUGAUUCUAUUUCUUUUAAACAUUUUUUUUCUUAUUUUUUAAUUUAAAUGUAAAUAACAGAAACGAUAUUAAUUUAAUUUUUGUUGAUAGUUUAUCUUGUAGAGAGGGUGUUCUGAAGAAACGGAGCAGGUAUGUUUUUGUUUUAUUGAACAUUAAUUUUUUGUUGUUUAUGUCCUUAAUACAUAGUCCUAUUGUGUUGAAAUUUUUAGAGAGUUUUUUUUUAUUCAAUAUAUAAUAAUCAAUCCAACCACUCGCUGAAUCAAUUUUAAAAUAAAAAAAAUCUGAAAAAUAUAGAGUAAAAAGUCAGAUCUCUUCCCGUUUUCCUUUUUAUUUGCUUAACAUUCUUUUAAUUAUAUUAAAUGUUGUACAGUUCUUUUAUUGAUAAUAGACACUAUGUUAAAAAAAUAGAUAUAAUGAAAUUAUUAAAAAAUAUCUAUUUAUUUUGGCUUUUAAUAAAUAUAUUUUAUUGGAAUUCAUCUGUUAUUAAUAAUCUUAAUAAUAACUCAUAAAAGAUAAAACCCUAAAGCCAGAAGAUAAAUAGAGUAAAAAAACAAAAAAAGAGAACGAGAUCUCAUCUCGGUGGCUGACGGCAGCAGGGACAGUGGAAGAAGCAGAUCUCGAUAGCAGAACAAACAGAAACGAUGGCUGAAGGGUAAAGCAGAUAUAGGACAAACGGUGGAAGGCUGAGG